UUUUUGGAGGGGCAAGUCUGGUGCCAGCAGCCGCGGUAAUUCCAGCUCCAAUAGCGUAUAUUAAAGUUGUUGCAGUUAAAAAGCUCGUAGUUGAACCUUGGGUCUGGCUGGCCGGUCCGCCUCACCGCGAGUACUGGUCCGGCUGGACCUUUCCUUCUGGGGAACCUCAUGGCCUUCACUGGCUGUGGGGGGAACCAGGACUUUUACUGUGAAAAAAUUAGAGUGUUCAAAGCAGGCCUUUGCUCGAAUACAUUAGCAUGGAAUAAUAGAAUAGGACGUGUGGUUCUAUUUUGUUGGUUUCUAGGACCGCCGUAAUGAUUAAUAGGGAUAGUCGGGGGCGUCAGUAUUCAGCUGUCAGAGGUGAAAUUCUUGGAUUUGCUGAAGACUAACUACUGCGAAAGCAUUCGCCAAGGAUGUUUUCAUUAAUCAGGGAACGAAAGUUAGGGGAUCGAAGACGAUCAGAUACCGUCGUAGUCUUAACCAUAAACUAUGCCGACUAGGGAU
RNAcentral lists this ribosomal RNA (504 nucleotides) under uncultured fungus. Its description in RNAcentral is "SSU rRNA". It matches the Rfam family "Eukaryotic small subunit ribosomal RNA", at positions 539 to 1053 of the family's 1831-position model. The record is from RNAcentral. Lineage: Eukaryota; Fungi.